This is a long non-coding RNA of Nelumbo nucifera (sacred lotus), 566 nucleotides long. RefSeq lists it as uncharacterized. Lineage: Eukaryota; Viridiplantae; Streptophyta; Magnoliopsida; Proteales; Nelumbonaceae. The record is from RefSeq and is a predicted model, not a curated record.
UCUUCGGAGACAUCCGAUGAAUUUGGAASGAUACAGAGAAGAUUAGYAUGGGCCCUGCGCAAGGAUGACACGCACAAAUCGAGAAAUGUUUUGAUCGAUGAUGAACUCUGAGAAAGAUUCCAUUAGAAGAUUCGGAAGGCUAAGCCAUCUGGAUCAACCCCUUUUUGGCGUUCUUCGUCCAUUUUAAAAAUUUCUGCUUUUGGGGUGGAGAAACAAGGUAGGGUUUCUGUGUACCUUUCAAAGCAAAUUCGGAUAAAUUUUUCUCUUAGCUUUCCUCCUUUCUGAAUUAUUCAGUGAGAAAACUCUAUCACUGCCAUUUCAGAACUCUUGGCGAUGAAAUUAAUGAUCUUUAACAUUAGAAAGUGUUAGUUUAAGGAAAAGAAAAUACAGAAAAGUGUGUUGAAGGCUCAUUAAACAUGUCACGCGAAGCAUCUUCUAUGGUUUGGAGGUAUUCAGUGGAGAGGAUGAUAGUGUUCUUGUUUGUCUGAUCUUCAUGACCUAGGUUGUAAAUCUAUAUCUUUUUAGAGCUAUUUUAGUCACAUUAGCGGAAUACUUAUUUGUGGUUA